Molecule: transfer RNA, 77 nt
Filed under: Candidatus Komeilibacteria bacterium RIFCSPLOWO2_02_FULL_48_11
Lineage: Bacteria; Candidatus Komeiliibacteriota
Also listed under: 3 other names
Description: tRNA-Asp
Rfam family: tRNA
About the family: Transfer RNA (tRNA) molecules are approximately 80 nucleotides in length. Their secondary structure includes four short double-helical elements and three loops (D, anti-codon, and T loops).
Source: RNAcentral
GGGGGCGUAGCUCAGCUGGUUAGAGCGUCUGCCUGUCACGCAGAAGGUCACGGGUUCGAGUCCCGCCGUCCCCGCCA